RNAcentral lists this ribosomal RNA (801 nucleotides) under uncultured cyanobacterium. RNAcentral describes it as "bacterial SSU rRNA". It matches the Rfam family "Bacterial small subunit ribosomal RNA", at positions 56 to 904 of the family's 1533-position model. Lineage: Bacteria; Bacillati; Cyanobacteriota. The record is from RNAcentral.
UGCAGUCGACGAAGUCUUCGGACUUUAGUGGCGGACGGGUGAGUAACGCGUGAGAAUCUGCCUAUAGGUUGGGGACAACAGAUGGAAACGUCUGCUAAUACCCAAUGUGCCGAGAGGUGAAAGCUUUAGUGCCUGUAGAUGAGCUCGCGUCCGAUUAGCUAGUUGGUUAGGUAAGAGCUGACCAAGGCGACGAUCGGUAGCUGGUCUGAGAGGAUGAUCAGCCACACUGGGACUGAGACACGGCCCAGACUCCUACGGGAGGCAGCAGUGGGGAAUUUUCCGCAAUGGGCGAAAGCCUGACGGAGCAAUACCGCGUGCGGGACGAAGGCUUUUGGGUCGUAAACCGCUUUUGUUAGGGAAGAAGAACUGACGGUACCUAACGAAUCAGCAUCGGCUAACUCCGUGCCAGCAGCCGCGGUAAUACGGAGGAUGCAAGCGUUAUCCGGAUUUAUUGGGCGUAAAGCGUCCGCAGGUGGUUUAUCAAGUCUGCUGUUAAAGCGUGGGGCUUAACCCCAUAUAGGCAGUGGAAACUGAGAGACUAGAGUACGGUAGGGGUAGCGGGAAUUCCCAGUGUAGCGGUGAAAUGCGUAGAUAUUGGGAAGAACACCAGCGGCGAAGGCGCGCUACUGGGCCGAAACUGACACUCAUGGACGAAAGCUAGGGGAGCGAAAGGGAUUAGAUACCCCUGUAGUCCUAGCUGUAAACGAUGACAACUAGGUGUUGCGCGUAUCGACCCGUGCAGUGCCGUAGCUAACGCGUUAGUUGUCCGCCUGGGGAGUACGCACGCAGUGUGAAACUCAA